RNAcentral lists this RNase P RNA (496 nucleotides) under Chloroflexota bacterium. RNAcentral's name for it is "Chloroflexi bacterium RNase P RNA component class A". It matches the Rfam family "Bacterial RNase P class A". Rfam says of the family: Ribonuclease P (RNase P) is a ubiquitous endoribonuclease, found in archaea, bacteria and eukarya as well as chloroplasts and mitochondria. Its best characterised activity is the generation of mature 5'-ends of tRNAs by cleaving the 5'-leader elements of precursor-tRNAs. RNAcentral also lists the same sequence under 1 other name. Lineage: Bacteria; Bacillati; Chloroflexota. The record is from RNAcentral.
CAGGCUGGUCGGGCAGUCGCGGUCCUGCGUUGACGGGAUCGAGGAAAGUCCGCACUCCUAUAGAGCACGGCGUCGGAUAGCACCCGGGGCGGGGAAAUCCCAUCCCUCGCGGAUGGGAAAACCGCCGAUGAGGCGUGAACCUGCCGGAUAAGGGCCACAGAAACAGGUCGCUCCCUCCCCCCAUCCCCUCUCCCACCGGGAAAGGGGUGUAGGGGUGAGGGUAGUCAGAGUGAAAAGGUGGUGUAAGAGACCACCGGCGCGCGCAGUAAUGCGUGUGGCCAGGUAACCCCCGCCGGGAGCAAGGCCAAGCAGGAGCGAAUUCGUCUGUGGACGAUGGGAGGCUGCUCGUCUCCAUACGUACCGUUCCCAACCGUGGGAAUGGUCAGCUCCGGGUAGGCUGCAUCGAGCGGCGCGGCGACGCGCCGCCCAGAGAGAUGACUGCCCAGUGGCGCCUCGGCGCCAUGGACAGAAUGCGGCUUAUAGACCAGCCUGGGGU